GCAAGUCGAACGGUAACAUUUCUAGCUUGCUAGAAGAUGACGAGUGGCGGACGGGUGAGUAAUGCUUGGGAACUUGCCUUUGCGAGGGGGAUAACAGUUGGAAACGACUGCUAAUACCGCAUAAUGUCUUCGGACCAAACGGGGCUUCGGCUCCGGCGCAAAGAGAGGCCCAAGUGAGAUCAGCUAGUUGGUAAGGUAACGGCUUACCAAGGCGACGAUCUCUAGCUGUUCUGAGAGGAAGAUCAGCCACACUGGGACUGAGACACGGCCCAGACUCCUACGGGAGGCAGCAGUGGGGAAUAUUGCACAAUGGGGGAAACCCUGAUGCAGCCAUGCCGCGUGUGUGAAGAAGGCCUUCGGGUUGUAAAGCACUUUCAGUUGUGAGGAAAAGUUAGUAGUUAAUACCUGCUAGCCGUGACGUUNACAACAGAAGAAGCACCGGCUAACUCCGUGCCAGCAGCCGCGGUAAUACGGAGGGUGCGAGCGUUAAUCGGAAUUACCGGGCGUAAAGCGCACGCAGGCGGUUUGUUAAGCUAGAUGUGAAAGCCCCGGGCUCAACCUGGGAUGGUCAUUUAGAACUGGCAGACU
Molecule: ribosomal RNA, 588 nt
Filed under: uncultured bacterium
Lineage: Bacteria
Description: bacterial SSU rRNA
Rfam family: Bacterial small subunit ribosomal RNA
Source: RNAcentral